Molecule: long non-coding RNA, 745 nt
Filed under: Panax ginseng (ginseng)
Lineage: Eukaryota; Viridiplantae; Streptophyta; Magnoliopsida; Apiales; Araliaceae
Description: long non-coding RNA (PGIN_LNC001198)
Source: RNAcentral
AUUACUCCAACGGCGUUUCAUCGGGACCCAUCAAAAGCUUUGAUAACCGUAUAGCUUCUUUUGAUCCUCUUGGGGUUGAUAUUCAUCUUCUCCAAGGUAGCAUAAGGACAAAUAUUUAGAGAUGAGCCUCCAUCUAUCAAGACUCCUCCUACCAUGUAUCUAGAGGACAAAACCGUUAUGUGCAACGACUUGCAAUGACCGAUCCCUUCAGUGAGUAUAUCGUCAUUAGUGAAAGAUAUCACAUUGUUGUUGAAAAUGUGAUCAACCAGAUGUUGAAUUUUUUCCACAUCCACUAAUUUCGAUAAAUGGGCUUCUUCUAAGACCCUUAGCAAUAUCUUCCUGUGAUCUUUGGAAGAGAAAACCAAGUCCUGUAUGGAAAUUUAUUAUGGAGCUUCUCUCAAGCUUAAAACCACUUUGGCUUCGUUAUGGCCCAUGGUACAGAGGAAUUCUUCAAUCUCCUCCAUAGGAACUUUCCCAUUUGAUUUGAUGGUGGGCUUAAUCACCCGAUGGGGAAGAUACAGUGGAUUCUCCUUGGACACUGCAGCAGUUGUAUGUGAUGUAGAUCCUUCAGCCUGCCCAUAAUUCCAUGAGACUUUGUGUAGGCUGACAAUAGGAUACUGUGUUCUGAAUGGUAAGUUAAUUGGCUCUGGUGCAGCCACUUUCAAAGGAUUGUCUACUCCUUUGAGUUGAAUUACUUGUAUUGUGGGUAUUUUAGAAGCCACGUCAUCCUCAACGGAUAUAAUUG